Molecule: long non-coding RNA, 560 nt
Filed under: Daucus carota (carrot)
Lineage: Eukaryota; Viridiplantae; Streptophyta; Magnoliopsida; Apiales; Apiaceae
Description: long non-coding RNA (DCAR_LNC007099)
Source: RNAcentral
UUAAAUCCUAGGCAUCCAAGAAGGUGGGUCGUCGCCCUCCACCUUACUUGGGGACGAACAACCUCCGGGGAAAUCAUCUACUUAAAUCCUAGGCAUCCAAGAAGGUGGGUCGUAGCCCUCCACAUUACUUGGGGACGAACAACCUCCGGGACAGUAGGGAAAUCAUCUACUUAAAUCCCAGGCAUCUAGGACAGUAGGGACGUCAUCCACUUAGAUCCUAGGCAUCCAAGUAGGUGGGUCGUCGCCCUCCACCGCACUUGGGGACGAACAACCUCCGGGACAGUAGGGAAAUCAUCUACUUAAAUCCCAGGCAUCUAGGACAGUAGGGACAUCAUCCACUUAGAUCCUAGGCAUCCAAGUAGGUGGGUCGUUGCCCUCCACCACACUUAGGGAAAAACAACCUCUGGAACAGUAGGGAAAUCAUCCACUUAGAUUCCAGGCAUCCAAGUAGGUGGGUCGUCGCCCUCCACCACACUUGGGGAACAUAAACCUCUGGGACAGUAGGGACAUCAUCCACUUAGAUCCCAGGCAUCCAAGUAGGUGGGUCGUCGCUCUCCACC